GAUUCCUCUUCCUCAGUGGGUUCGUGAUGAAAUCGAUAAAAAUCCAGAUUUAGCAUAUUCAGACAGGUUUGGAAGACAGAAUAUGGAAUAUAUAUCCCUAGGAUGUGAUGUUCUUCCCGUUCUACAUGGACGAUCUCCGAUCCAAGCAUAUACUGAAUUUAUGAGGAGCUUCCGUGACACCUUCAUACCAUUUUUUGAUGGCGUCAUAACUGGUAUCCAAGUUGGAAUGGGC
Molecule: unclassified non-coding RNA, 232 nt
Filed under: Hevea brasiliensis (rubber tree)
Lineage: Eukaryota; Viridiplantae; Streptophyta; Magnoliopsida; Malpighiales; Euphorbiaceae
Source: RNAcentral